GAAAAACAAAAAAGAAUAUUAGUAAAUAUCAAGAAGAUUCAAUGGAAGCUAAACUAAUUCUAUGAUGAAUAUAGCAGCAAUUCCGAUCCUAUAACAAAUGUCUAAAAUUUGGUGGAUGGUGUAUGUGUAUAUUACAUACAUGAUAAUUUACACAGAUUUUUAUUAAAUAAUUCCCCAAACUUCU
Molecule: long non-coding RNA, 184 nt
Organism: Harpegnathos saltator (Jerdon's jumping ant)
Lineage: Eukaryota; Metazoa; Arthropoda; Insecta; Hymenoptera; Formicidae
Exons: 3
Source: RefSeq, a predicted model, not a curated record